GACGAACGCUGGCGGCAUGCCUAAUACAUGCAAGUUGAACGAUGAUAUUCUCUGCUUGCAGAGAAUUGAAGAGUAGCGAACGGGUGAGUAACACGUGGGGAACCUGCCCAUGAGAGGGGGAUAACAUUCGGAAACGGAUGCUAAUACCGCAUAAUGCUUUGGACCGCCUGGUCCAGAGACGAAAGACGGCUUUUGCUGUCACUCAUGGAUGGCCCCGCGCCGUAUUAGCUAGUUGGUGAGGUAAUGGCUCACCAAAGCUGUGAUACGUAGCCGACCUGAGAGGGUGAUCGGCCACACUGGGACUGAGACACGGCCCAGACUCCUAUGGGAGGCAGCAGUAGGGAAUCUUCCACAAUGGGCGAAAGCCUGAUGGAGCAAUGCCGCGUGAAUGAAGAAGGUCUUCGGAUCGUAAAGUUCUGUUAUUAGAGAAGAACAAGUCAAGGAGUAACUGUCUUGACUUUGACGGUACCUAACCAGAAAGUCACGGCUAACUACGUG
Molecule: ribosomal RNA, 498 nt
Filed under: uncultured bacterium
Lineage: Bacteria
Description: partial 16S ribosomal RNA
Rfam family: Bacterial small subunit ribosomal RNA
Source: RNAcentral